AACAGAAGAUUCUGCGAAGAAAAGUGCUGCGCAGCAAGUGGAGAAUUGCAUGCAGAUUCCCUGGCCUUCAAGCUUAGGGGACAGAGCCAGCCUCGGGCUCGACCUUCAGCUCCUCCUAUCAAGACGAUCCCGGGCUGCUCUUGCCUCUUCCAAACAUGUGGUCAUCCCCCCAGGCGCAGCCAUCAACAGAACCCAACAGAGACCCACAUUUGAUCCCUCUGUCUAUCUCCUUGUCCCUCUAUCUCUCCUCUGUCUCUCUAUCUCUCCGCUGUCUCUCUUUCACAGCUACCCAGUAUUUUAGCUACUCUAAACAGAUAUUCCAAUUUGGAAGAAACCGCAUCAUCAAAUUUAUUUUUCCUACUAGAUGCAAAAAGUCUACGGCAUGAAAUCAAGUUAAAGUCCACACAGAACACUGCAGGGAUCCUUUCCUGAGAAUCAUCAUCACAACCACCAGCCCCAUCCCAUGAUUAUUAUUGCAAAACACUGAUUUGAUGGGAGAACUCCCAGGCAUCAGUCUCCAAACGUUACCCAUUGAAAAGGAGACCAGCGCUUUGAUGGAUACUCAGCUUUGAGAGACCGUAAUGCUCACUCCUCUCAAUUGCCAUCCUGUUCACACUGGCAUCUGGAGCAGGUGGAAGAAGGCAACAUGUCAGCCUGGACAUUCUCUGCCACUAGAUGGGCUGUGCUCGGUGCAGCCGGCUUUGAACAUGCAGUGUCCGUGCUGAACAGGUUUCGCUCGAGUUUCAUCACAAGGAAGUUAUCAGACAACUGUAGAAUCUAGACCAUUGAACAGGACAACUGGCCUGUCUUUUUCAAACUGCCAAUGCCUCCACAAACGGGAUGACAGAAAGGAGAAGAGUUAUUUUGGGUUCCAAAGAACUAAAGAGAUUGUGCUACUAUAUUUCUUUAGUUCUUUUGAGCCCAAAACCUCUCCUCACCUUACUGUGUUUGUCUUUAAUGGUGGUGACAUUGACUUGUUUGCAGAGGACAGGUCAGUUGUCUGGCUCAGAAGUCUACAUUCUGCAGUUGUCUGACCCUUCCUCAUGAUUAAACUCGGGCCUAGCCUUCUGCCAAGGGCACCACAUAGUGCACACUGUGUGCUUCCUAGCACAGCCCCUCUGGAGUUGAAGAAUGUCCACUUUGCCUGUCACCACUCUUGUCAUCUAAGCAUUGAACAUUUGGCUAUAGAGGGAGGAGCCAGUGAGAUCCAUUCAUUGGAACACACGUUUUUCUGUCUAGAAUCAGUCAUUUGACGAGUAGCUCUUCGAGAGUGUAUAAAUAUUUUAUUCUAUGAUUCUCAUUGUCUAACAA
This is a non-coding RNA of Vicugna pacos (alpaca), 1311 nucleotides long. Lineage: Eukaryota; Metazoa; Chordata; Mammalia; Artiodactyla; Camelidae. The record is from RefSeq and is a predicted model, not a curated record.